CUAAAAAGAGAAAGUGUUUGUCUUGAAGUCUUCUAUCUACCCUCAAAAUUUCACGUCAAUCGGAGUAGGUUUGACCAUCUAAAAGUAGGUCGGAGUAAGCUGCCCUUCAUUUGGACGGAAAUCCUGAAAUCAAAUUGAUAAUAAAAGGAAUUUUUGAAAAGAAGGCUAAGGAACUAUACCAAGGAGAGAUAUGAGGAGGAGUAUCAGGAUUGUCCAGAUCUUUAGGUGAUCUUAAGAGGAGUGUCUGAGGCUAGGAUGCCUCCCACUUUUGUGGACCACUAUGUCUAGUCCAUUAUUAUUAUUAUAUUUGGAAAACGAUAUUUAUAUAUUUCUUGAUUUGUAUAAUGAUACUCUGAGUGAUUUGAUUGUAAAUUA
Long non-coding RNA from Alnus glutinosa, 375 nucleotides. RefSeq lists it as uncharacterized. Lineage: Eukaryota; Viridiplantae; Streptophyta; Magnoliopsida; Fagales; Betulaceae. The transcript is spliced from 3 exons. The record is from RefSeq and is a predicted model, not a curated record.